GGAAGACUUAAGAUGGCGGCGUUUGCACGGAGUGCAAUCACUGCGUCCUUACGGGGGUUGCAAGGCGUCCGAAAUGGAGUUCGCUCUUGUUGCCCAGGCUGGAAUGCAAUGGCAUGACCUUGGCUCACUGCAACCUCUGCCUCCCCAGUUCAAGUGGUUCUCCUGCCUCAGCCUCCCGAGUAGCUGAGAUUACAGGUACUGGCUCCUGUAUCACCCAGCUCUGGAGUUGAAAGAGCUCUUCAUUCCUGAGUCUCCUGUACCACUGAGAAUAGAAAUACAAAAAAAAUUCUAAAACUUGUAUGGAACUACAAAAGACAUUAAAUAAUCAAAGUAAUCUUGAGCAACAAGGACACAGCUGGAGGCAUCACUCUACCUGAUUUUGUAAUCCAUUAUCAAAAAACUGUGGUACCAGCAUAAAAACAGAUUCACUGACCAGUGGAACAGGAAAGCCCAGACAUAACUCAUACAUUUCCAUCCAAUUGAUUUUUGACAAAAGUGGCACACAGAAUGGGGAGAGGACAAAUAAAUAAAUAAAUUGUUUUGAGAUAUCUGUA
Long non-coding RNA from Homo sapiens (human), 554 nucleotides. Ensembl annotates it as JPX transcript, XIST activator. Its record names the gene JPX. The record is from Ensembl. NCBI's taxonomy places the organism in Eukaryota, Metazoa, Chordata, Mammalia, Primates, Hominidae.